CAUAUCGCACCCUUAGAAUGAAAGUGACCGAAUCCAAAAAAUGCAAUUUGUGGGAAAUGAGCAAAAUCGUCAUCAAAAAAUUAUAUUACUGAAUACAUCUUAAUAUAUCUCUUCCGUUUUUAAUGGCUUACUAUUGAUUUUUACCAGAUUUGUGGAUUAGCCUUUUGAGAUCACAAUGACAAUGCAAAUUUAUGUUUAUAGUAUUUUUUUAUAUAUAUUUUAACAUAAAAUAUAAAGUAGUUUCAAAUUAAGUCACUUUAUUUCAAAAUUAUGUUUGCCAUUCUUUGUUUUUUUAAGAAUUAAGUCUGUUUAUGACACAUAUUGGAAAUAAUUCCGUAGACACAUUAAAUAAUAGGACACUGUCAUACUGAAAGUUAUUUGGACAUAGGGUAUUAAAUUAAAAUGCAAUGUUAUAAAAUCUGAAUGUAUUUAUUUAUUUCAGUCUUAAUAACAUUUAUUCAAGUUACUGAUUCGUUGUCAGUAAUUGAGAAAACAAAAUCUACGGGACCUUUGCUUGUGUUUGUGAAUAAAAUAACAGAAUGUAUCCAAAUGAGCAGGCAAUGUCUAUUAACCUCCUGCUUCUAUUGUGGAGCCUUAAUGUGGCUAUAAGUAGAACAGAGGAUCAAAUUCCUACUCAAGUCUGCACAAAAUAACAAAUCACUUCUGCAAUGAAACCUUUAGUGGCAGAAAAGUGAUAAAUAUAUCUUUUAAACAGUUCCGUUAAAAAGUCUACAAUUGGAGUCUUUAUGCAGUUCUAACGCGUACAUCAGCGGCAAUAGAAACUUUUUAGCAGCUUUAACCUUUAAACAUAAUUGUUUGAACUCUCUUUUAAAGAUGUAGGCUGCAAAUGGGUUGUAGAAUGAUCUCUUGUAAAACCCAGAGUGACAUUUGGUUCAGUUACUGCUGCCUUUAGUGAUAUUUACAGCUAUGAGUAGCUACGGAAGCAAUAGUAGAACUUAAAGAUACUUUCGGAACCCCUAAAGCACUACUGUACAACUAACAGUUGCCAAAUAGGCUGCUAUUUCCACUAGUGUGCUAGUUGGGAUGGUUCUACUAGUUGGUUAGACCACUGCGUAGUGACAGACGCGGCGUGGAACACUGUUAGAGACGCUAGUGUGCUCUAUGACGUGUCAUGGUCGGACCAUUUACCUCUAAUUAUAAAGUGUGAUCUUAAGUUAUUAAGGCCAAAAUUUGCACCUGCACUUCCUAAAUGUAACAAAGUAACAUGGGGUGACAGAGCUUUGCAGCAGACUGAGUUAUAUAGCAAUUAUUGUAAUGAUCUCUUGAAAAAUGUAGACUUUCCCUUAGAAUUUACUGAAUGUAGUAAAACCACAUGUAGAAUUAAGAAACAUGAAACUAUUUUAGGCAAUAUUUAUGCGGAAAUUGUACGUAUACUCUGUGAAGAUCGCAAGUAACUGUAGGAACGGAUUACAGCGCAAAAAGAGUUACAUAACGGGCUGGAAUAAGCAUGUGAAGGACGUACACAGACAGGCUCGGAUUUUCAAACCUGGACGUUGUUUGGUAGACCGAAAAAUGGUGAUUUAUAUAAAAAAAUGGUGGAAAGUAGAAAGGUUUUUAAAAGUAAAUUGAAAUGGUGCCAAAAUAAUAAGGACCAAAUAAAAAUGGACAUCAUUGCAAGUCAUCAUGACGCAAAGAAUUUUGGUAGUUUUUGGAAAGCCACGAACAGGUUGAAUCAAAGGUCGGGUCUGCCUGUGAGUAUUGAUGGCCUUAGUGAUCCUGGUGAUAUCGCCAACCUAUUUAGUAGAACCUUUAGGGUUGGGUCUCCCCAGGGUACGUCAUCUGGUGGGCUGGAGGUGGUGAGGGGGUCUGAAGACAUGCCUAUUAGGUUUACGGGAGGUAGCUACUGUCAUACGCAACUUAAAGAGAGGCAAGUCGCCGGGUCAUGACAGCCUAAGUAUAGAGCAUUUGCUGCAUGCUGGUAAGCACUUACCGCGAGUGCUA
Molecule: long non-coding RNA, 1962 nt
Organism: Helicoverpa armigera (cotton bollworm)
Lineage: Eukaryota; Metazoa; Arthropoda; Insecta; Lepidoptera; Noctuidae
Exons: 2
Source: RefSeq, a predicted model, not a curated record